RNAcentral lists this ribosomal RNA (330 nucleotides) under uncultured eukaryote. RNAcentral's name for it is "partial 18S ribosomal RNA". It matches the Rfam family "Eukaryotic small subunit ribosomal RNA", at positions 1470 to 1796 of the family's 1831-position model. The record is from RNAcentral.
CCCUUAGAUGUUCUGGGCCGCACGCGUGCUACACUGAUGCAUUCAACGAGUCUAAAACCUGGUCUGAUAGGGCUGGGUAAUCUUUUGAAAGCGCAUCGUGAUUGGGAUAGAUGAUUGCAAUUCUUCAUCUUCAACGAGGAAUGCCUAGUAAACGCAAGUCAUCAGCUUGCAUUGAUUACGUCCCUGCCCUUUGUACACACCGCCCGUCGCUCCUACCGAUUGAAUGAUCCGAUGAAUAUCAUGGAUUGAGAGUACGAAUGGGUUCGCUCAUUUCUGCUGCUCGAGAAGUGAAGUAAAUCUUAUCAUUUAGAGGAAGGAGAAGUCGUAACA